This 360-nucleotide ribosomal RNA is filed under the name uncultured Methanosaeta sp. RNAcentral describes it as "bacterial SSU rRNA". It matches the Rfam family "Archaeal small subunit ribosomal RNA", at positions 980 to 1338 of the family's 1478-position model. The record is from RNAcentral. Lineage: Archaea; Methanobacteriati; Methanobacteriota; Methanomicrobia; Methanotrichales; Methanotrichaceae.
CUGAGAGGUGGUGCAUGGCCGUCGUCAGUUCGUACUGUGAAGCAUCCUGUUAAGUCAGGCAACGAGCGAGACCCACGUCCACAGUUGCCAGCAUACCCUCCGGGGUGAUGGGUACACUGUGGAGACCGCCGCUGCUAAAGCGGAGGAAGGAGUGGGCAACGGUAGGUCAGUAUGCCCCGAAUCUCCCGGGCUACACGCGGGCUACAAUGGUUGGUACAAUGGGCAUCUACCCCGAAAGGGGGAAGGAAAUCUCUUAAAGCCAAUCGUAGUUCGGAUUGAGGGCUGCAACUCGCCCUCAUGAAGCUGGAAUCCGUAGUAAUCGCGUUUCAACAGAACGCGGUGAAUACGUCCCUGCUCCUU